This 549-nucleotide ribosomal RNA is filed under the name uncultured archaeon. Its description in RNAcentral is "bacterial SSU rRNA". It matches the Rfam family "Archaeal small subunit ribosomal RNA", at positions 1 to 551 of the family's 1478-position model. The record is from RNAcentral.
UUCCGGUUGAUCCCGCCGGAAGUCACUGCUAUCGGUGUUCGACUAAGCCAUGCGAGUCAAAUGUUCUUCGUGAACAUGGCGUACUGCUCAGUAACACGUGGAUAACCUGCCCUUAGGUCUGGCAUAACCCCGGGAAACUGGGGAUUAUUCCGGAUAGAUCAUCGAUGCUGGAAUGCGCUUUGAUCCAAAGCUAUUGUGCCUAAGGAUGGGUCUGCGGUCUAUCAGGUUGUAGUGGGUGAAAUGUACCUACUAGCCUACGACGGAUACGGGUUGUGGGAGCAAGAGCCCGGAGAUGGAUUCUGAGACAUGAAUCCAGGCCCUACGGGGCGCAGCAGGCGCGAAAACUUUACAAUGCGGGGAACCGCGAUAAGGGGACACCGAGUGCCAGCAUCCUAUGUUGGCUGCCCAUAUGUCUAAAUCACAUGUGUUAGCAAGGGCCGGGCAAGACCGGUGCCAGCCGCCGCGGUAACACCGGCGGCCCGAGUGGUGGCCACUAUUAUUGGGUCUAAAGGGGUCCGUAGCCGGUUUUGGUCAGUCUUCCGGGAAAUC